CAGCCGCCACGGUAGUACGCAGGUUGCGAGCGUUAAUCGGAAUUACUGGGCGUAAAGCGUGCGCAGGCGGUUCGUUAAGACAGAUGUGAAAUCCCCGGGCUUAACCUGGGAACUGCAUUUGUGACUGGCGAGCUAGAGUAUGGCAGAGGGGGGUAGAAUUCCACGUGUAGCAGUGAAAUGCGUAGAGAUGUGGAGGAAUACCGAUGGCGAAGGCAGCCCCCUGGGCCAAUACUGACGCUCAUGCACGAAAGCGUGGGGAGCAAACAGGAUUAGAUACCCCAGUAGUCCCUGUCUCUUAUAC
RNAcentral lists this ribosomal RNA (301 nucleotides) under uncultured bacterium. RNAcentral describes it as "partial 16S ribosomal RNA". It matches the Rfam family "Bacterial small subunit ribosomal RNA", at positions 509 to 807 of the family's 1533-position model. The record is from RNAcentral.